ACUCAAAUGAAUUGACGGGGAGGCGCACAAGCAGUGGAGCAUGUGGUUUAAUUCGAUACAAAGCGAAACACCUCACCAAGAUUUGACAUGUAUCUGCAAACCCCUAGAAACAGGGGAAUCCUUCGAGGGUGAUACACAGAUGCUGCAUGGCUGUCGUCAGCUCGUGGCGUGAGCUGUACCGUUAAGUCGGAAAACGAGCGCAACCCGCACCGCAUGUUAAAUAAUUCAUACGGAACUGCCCCACUUUGUGGGGAGGAAGGCGCGGAUGACGUCAAGUCAGCACGGCUCUUACAUCUUGGGCUACACACAUCCUACAAUGGCGAAUAACAACGAGUUGCAAACUGGUAACAGCAAGCUAAUCUCUGAAAUUUCGCCUCAGUUCAGAUCGGGGUCUGCAAUUCGACCCCGUGAAGUCGGAAUUGCUAGUAAUCGCGAAUCAGCAGGUCGCGGUGAAUACGUUCUCGCCUCUUGUACACACCGCCCGU
This 485-nucleotide ribosomal RNA is filed under the name uncultured bacterium. RNAcentral's name for it is "partial 16S ribosomal RNA". It matches the Rfam family "Bacterial small subunit ribosomal RNA", at positions 899 to 1397 of the family's 1533-position model. The record is from RNAcentral.